UGUAAAUAUAAACCGGUGAAAUUAUGUCCUCUUGUACGGGUGUAAAUAUUUUGGGAAUCUAUUAUCUUGAUUACCACGAUGCAGCAAGCAGAAGCAAUAUUACAACAUUAUCCUUUCAAAUUUAAAAAUUGUCAUAAAAAAUAAACAUGCAAAGAAAAUGUACAUUUAAAUACAGAUAAACUUUUAAACAUGCACAUUUAUAUUUACCUUCUUUGUGUUCCGAAUAGAAUUCGAACGUAACUAUAAAUAUCUACCCAACCGAAUAUAAUUUUGACACGAAUUAAGGUUUUAAAAGACCUAAGAACAAUAUCCAUGUUAAAUGUAGAGUAAUUCAAAACAUGCUUGCUCAUGUAG
Molecule: long non-coding RNA, 354 nt
Filed under: Mytilus galloprovincialis (Mediterranean mussel)
Lineage: Eukaryota; Metazoa; Mollusca; Bivalvia; Mytilida; Mytilidae
Source: RNAcentral